This 70-nucleotide ribosomal RNA is filed under the name 'Vigna mungo' phytoplasma. RNAcentral's name for it is "'Vigna mungo' phyllody phytoplasma partial 23S ribosomal RNA". The record is from RNAcentral. Lineage: Bacteria; Bacillati; Mycoplasmatota; Mollicutes; Acholeplasmatales; Acholeplasmataceae.
AGGUAAAUAAUAGUUAUUUAUCCGGAACAUUAAAGGAAAUAAGAGCGCACAGUGGAUGCCUUGGCACUAA